This 1463-nucleotide long non-coding RNA is filed under the name Homo sapiens (human). RNAcentral's name for it is "HSALNT0391063". Lineage: Eukaryota; Metazoa; Chordata; Mammalia; Primates; Hominidae. The record is from RNAcentral.
AGUCUUUUUGAUCCUUAAGAAGAGGAGCAAAGCUUUUGGAACGAGCUGAGAUUCCACUUUAGAUCCACGUACGUGGCUCAGGCAGAAGGUGAGUUUUUGGCAAAUUUGGGUGGGAUCGUACUGUGCGCUUUGUGCCUUGUCACUUAAAGCAGUGGCCGCCAACCUUUUUGGCAGCAGGAACAGGUUUUGUGGAAGACAAUUUUUCCACAGACCAGGGCUGGGGGUGGGGGAUAGUUUUGGGAUGAUUCAAGCACGUUACAUUUAUUAUGCAUUUUUAUAUUAUUACAUUGUAACAUAUAAUGAAAUAAUUAUACAACUUACCAUAAUGUAGAAUCAAUGGGAGCCCUGAGCUUGUUUUCCUGAAACUAGACAGUCUCAUCUGGGGGUGAUGGGAGACAGUGACAGAUCAUUCGAUUCUCCUAAGGAGCAUGCAACCUAGAUCCCUCGCAUGCGUAGUUCAUAAUUAAUAGGGUCUGCACUCCUAUGAGAAUCUAAUGCUGCAGCUGAUCUGACAGGAGGCGGAGCUCAGGUGGUCAUGCUCACCCGCUGCUGCUCACCUCCUACUGUGCAGCCAGGUUCUAACAGCCACAGACCCAUACUGGUCUGUGGCCCUGGGGCUGGGGACCUCUGACUUACUUAAAGCAAUUUAAAAACUCACCAGAGCUCACUAUUUAAAGGGACCCAACAGCAAAUCCUCUAAUAAGGUAACAGGAGUCCCUGCUUCCCCGCGUUGGUCUCAACUUUGUCUUCUGCAUUGUAGCUGGUCUCUAACGUGUAGGAGCCAGAACGGAGAGGUCUUUCCUUAGGGCACCUGUAGAGUCCCUCCUGAAUCAAGGCUUCCAUGUGGACCUUUAUUUUUAUUUUAUUUUUUUGAGACGGAGUUUCGCUCUUGUUGCCCAGGCUCUGUUUAAAAAAAAAAAAAAAAAAAGGUUUAUUAUUGCUAAUACUAUGGAGGGGCUCAGAGAUGUGAGGAAUAAGACAAAGCUGCUUUAUUUGGUGAAUGGCAGUCAUUAGUGACUUUUAAAAGAGCAGCUUGGUAGAAUGUAGGGAGGUUGGGUUAUUUUCUUUUUUACAGAUACUAUUUAUUAGGCACUAUAUAAGAUUAAAAGAGACUUUAACACCUCUUUUAAAAAAAGGCUUUAUCUCUUUCAAUGCUUACACUGACUCUUUUAACACCCUUUUUAUAGAUGAAAAGUGCGAUUGAGAGAGGUUAAGUGACUUGUUCAAGCCCUUGUAUAAAUUAAGUAUGGACACAGGAUUUAACCCAGUUGUGUCUGAUCCUAAAGCUUAUCAUUUUAAUGAGUUGCCUCCUCUCUCAUUCAUGGAAGCCAGAAUGCAAGUGGUUAAGGAGUAAUAAAGAGGUGAAUGUAGCCAGUAUAGAGGACUCUUAGGACAGGUUUGGCAGAGGUGAAAGGGAAGAGAUGGGAUGUUGCUUCUGGUUAGCAAGGGAGAGGAACAUUUCU